UGUAGGUGCUGGGCUGCUUGUGUGGGAUGGGAAGGGAGAGGGGGAGCUGGAGCCUGGGUGUGCAGACCUGGCCUUCUGUUCAGCGAGUCCAGCUGCAUAAGGCUGCCAGGCCUGUGCUUUGCACACAGGAGGGAGCUGGUCCUCUCGGCUGCUUCUUACCAGAGACCUGGUGCAGCCAGAACCAAACCUUCAUAGCACCGUGCUGGAACAGUGCCCAUUUGGAGGCAGCUUGUCAGUUUUCAUCACGAAGAUGUUAAUAUGUAGAAGGAAGCUUCAGGAGUGAUCAAAAUGGCUGAUGAAGGUUGGAAGAGCAGCUCAAG
Oxyura jamaicensis (ruddy duck) is the source of this 320-nucleotide long non-coding RNA. RefSeq lists it as uncharacterized. The transcript has 3 exons. NCBI's taxonomy places the organism in Eukaryota, Metazoa, Chordata, Aves, Anseriformes, Anatidae. The record is from RefSeq and is a predicted model, not a curated record.